UACAGAGGGUGCGAGCGUUAAUCGGAAUUACUGGGCGUAAAGCGUGCGUAGACGGUUAUUUAAGUCGGAUGUGAAAGCCCCGGGCUCAACCUGGGAAUGGCGAUGAAGACUGCAAGGCUAGAAUCUGGCAGAGGGGGGUAGAAUUCCACGUGUAGCAGUGAAAUGCGUAGAGAUGUGGAGGAACACCGAUGGCGAAGGCAGCCCCCUGGGUCAAGAUUGACGCUCAUGCACGAAAGCGUGGGGAGCAAACAGG
Molecule: ribosomal RNA, 253 nt
Filed under: uncultured bacterium
Lineage: Bacteria
Description: partial 16S ribosomal RNA
Rfam family: Bacterial small subunit ribosomal RNA
Source: RNAcentral